Molecule: unclassified non-coding RNA, 487 nt
Filed under: Hevea brasiliensis (rubber tree)
Lineage: Eukaryota; Viridiplantae; Streptophyta; Magnoliopsida; Malpighiales; Euphorbiaceae
Source: RNAcentral
GUGAUGGUGGUGGUAUUUUGAUACCAAUUGGGGUCAUGGUUGCUAGAUACUUUAGGCAAUAUGAUCCAAUAUGGUUUUAUACUCACACAACUAUUCAAUCAAUUGCCUCUCUCCUUGGAUUUUCUGGUAUUGUAUGUGGUUUUGUUCUUGAAGAUCGUCUUAGCGCUCAUGUUGAUAAACACAAAGCCAUUGGCAUCUUCAUUCUUGUUCUUGCUUGCUUGCAGGUCAUUGCAUUUUUGGCUCGACCAGGAAAGGAAUCAAAAGUAAGAAAAUAUUGGAAUUGGUACCAUCAGAUAUUGGGAAGGGUUUUGAUAAUUUUGGCAGCAGCAAAUAUUUUCUAUGGAAUCCAUUUAGGAGGUGCAGGGACUGCUUGGAAUGUUGGUUUUGCUGUUACUCUUGUUGCAUUAUUCAGCAUUUCUAUCGUUCUAGAAAUAAGGUUGUGGAUGACUAAGUAAAUUACUCCUUCAUCCUUUUCAUUUCUAUUCUU